CCUACGGCUGGCAGCAGUGGGGAAUAUUGCACAAUGGGCGCAAGCCUGACGCAGCCAUGCCGCGUGUGUGAAGAAGGCCUUCGGGUUGUAAAGCACUUUCAGCGGGGAGGAAGGCGUUAAGGUUAAUAACCUUGUCGAUUGACGUUACCCGCAGAAGAAGCACCGGCUAACUCUGUGCCAGCAGCCGCGGUAAUACGGAGGGUGCAAGCGUUAAUCGGAAUUACUGGGCGUAAAGCGCACGCAGGCGGUCUGUCAAGUCGGAUGUGAAAUCCCCGGGCUCAACCUGGGAACUGCAUUCGAAACUGGCAGGCCAGAGUCUUGUAGAGGGGGGUAGAAUUCCAGGUGUAGCGGUGAAAUGCGUAGAGAUCUGGAGGAAUACCGGUGGCGAAGGCGGCCCCCUGGACAAAGACUGACGCUCAGGUGCGAAAGCGUGGGGAGCAAACAGGAUUAGAUACCCGGGUAGUC
Molecule: ribosomal RNA, 465 nt
Filed under: uncultured Klebsiella sp.
Lineage: Bacteria; Pseudomonadati; Pseudomonadota; Gammaproteobacteria; Enterobacterales; Enterobacteriaceae
Description: bacterial SSU rRNA
Rfam family: Bacterial small subunit ribosomal RNA
Source: RNAcentral